AUGGAGCCGACCGGCCGGAGUACCAAGAGGAUGAGACCCGCGCCACCCGACAUCCACCAAUCGACGCCAGGUCCAGCGGAGACGACCGAUCUGGAAGCCACGACCGCGGGGAGAACCCAACACCCGCCGCCGGGAGCUGGGAGAGAUGGCGGCGAGGGGUCGCCGGACCGCAUCAGCGAUCUUCCCGACGCGGUCCUCGGCGAGAUAAUCUUCCUCCUCCCCACCAAGGACGGCGCCCGCACUCAAGCCCUCGCGUCCCGGUGGCGCCACCUCUGGCGCGCCUCCCCUCUCAACCUCGACUGCCGGGGCCUCUCCGGCAACUUCCCCGGCGCCAUACUCUCCGCCCACGGGGGCCCCGUCCACCGCCUCUGCCUCCCGUCGCUCCUCCUCCAGUACAGAGCCGAUGUGGCAGGCACCUGGCUCCGCUCCCCCUCCCUGGACAAGCUCCAGGAGCUCGAGUUCUACCUAGAGCUGCCAAUAACAUACAGAUUUUCGUUCUCAAGGUUACAGCUGCUGCAACCACCGCCGGCGUCCAUCUUCAGGUUCUCGUCCACUCUCCGCGUUGCCACCAUCAGUCAGUGCCAUCUCCCGGACAAUACUGUGGAGACGCUUCAGUUUCCCCUGCUCAAGAAGCUUGCGCUCGUGGAGGUCAAAAUCUCGGAGGGCUUGCUGCAGAGCAUCAUCACCUCCGGCUGCCCUGCCCUGGAAAGCUUGUUGCUCAGGACUAGUUUUGACAUCCGUGGUCUCAGGAUCAACUCCCCUAUCCUUAAAAGUAUAGGCGUUCAUUCUAGGUUUGUAGAACUCAUCAUUCAGGAUGCUCCUUCACUUGAAAGAUUGCUCUGUCUGAGAAUGGAUAUGAGAAUGCGAGUGUCAGUAAUCUCCGCACCUAGACUGGCGACCUUGGGUUACAUUUCUCAGGAUUCACCGGACUCCAAAAUCAUGUUUGGCUCCACAGUUAUUCAGAGAUUGUGCGUUGUUAGCCUGACAAUGGUGGUGCGUACUGUCAAGAUCUUGGCUGUCCAUAUGAAUUUUAAUCUGGAUAUGGUUAUUGAGUUGAUGAAAUGCUUCGUAUGCCUGGAGAAGUUGUAUAUGAAGAUUCAGACAGAUUCACCAGCAGGAACAAAUUUCUGGCGUCAUAAACACCGGAAUUUUAUCACAUCUCAGGACAUUCGUUUGAAGACCUUAGUGCUAGGGCAUUACCGAGGCAUCCAGGCACAAGUUAACUUUGUCACAUUCUUCAUACUGAAUGCGAAACUGCUAGAGUCCAUCCGACUUGAGGUUGAUUCCAGGGAUUACAAUGACGGAUUUUUCGCAGAACAAUGUAGGAUGCUUCAGAUGGAGAAAAGGGUUUCUAGAGGUGCUCAGCUCUGUGUUACAACAGGUUCUCACAAUGAUGUUUCGAGCACCGUUGACCUCAGUGAUUUGGAUUUGGUUGAUCCAUUCACAUGUAGAUGUUGA
RNAcentral lists this ribosomal RNA (1458 nucleotides) under Triticum aestivum (bread wheat). RNAcentral's name for it is "partial small subunit ribosomal RNA". The record is from RNAcentral. Lineage: Eukaryota; Viridiplantae; Streptophyta; Magnoliopsida; Poales; Poaceae.